Molecule: long non-coding RNA, 587 nt
Organism: Frieseomelitta varia
Lineage: Eukaryota; Metazoa; Arthropoda; Insecta; Hymenoptera; Apidae
Exons: 2
Source: RefSeq, a predicted model, not a curated record
UUAAGAAACAACUUAUACAAUAUACCGAUUCUUAUUAAUUCUUAUUAAUAUUUGUAAUUCAAUCAACGUUCAAUUAAAAUAACAUAUAAUAUAUAAUACAGACGAAGUUUCAGGUAGUUGUGCGAAUUUCUGAAAAAUCAUGAGAGUUCAGAUAGAAUCAAGAGCUUGUCGAAUACACAAAAAGGAUGACACUUUAAUGUGUUUCUAUCAAAUGUAUCAGUACAAAUCGAUUGAGUCGGAUUUUUAUUCAUUUGUAUCAGUUUCUUUCCCUCUGAAGUUAGUUCUUGAAUGAUCGUUUAGCAAAUACAUAUAAUUUUUCCUCGAUGAAUCAUUAGAUGGAGGCUUACAAAGGCUACAUGAUGCGUUAGUACAACACAUUAGUCAACGGUUCAGUUUGAUUCUACGCUAUUUGAUGAUGUUUCCUGGCCGUUUUCAGGAAAUAUCGAUUCACACCGUUUUAAAUUAUAGCCACAACGAGGCUGCGACGAAGGCAACAAAUUCCCUGGGCGUUUUGGAUGAAAAUUCUUUGAUGCAUCUCGAAUUCGAAUAAACGAACAGUCUAAGCAGAAAAUAUUCUCUGGAAUGGA